UGUGUGUGCGUGGACUGGCCCGAAGGUCUCUGCUCUCACCAGAUGGAUGUGGUCUCCCGUAAACAAUACCAGAGUGCAUCUGUGCAGUCACCGGGUUAUUCUACACUUGCAAACUUGUUAGAGGAACUAAUCACGGCCACCUGGUCAGGUUAGCAUAGGGCUAAAUGUGCCAGGUUACGUAAUAGGAUUCGCUGCCAUGUCGCGUUUCAUCACAUCCAACUAUGUCAACAAACAAUAAUACUUUUGACAAACUUAAAGCCUUGUUACUUUGGUUUGAAGAAUGACAAACUUAAAGCCUUGUUACUUUGGUUUGAAGAAUGACAAACUUAAAGCCUUGUUACUUUGGUUUGAAGAAUGACAAACUUAAAGCCUUGUUACUUUGGUUUGAAGAAUGACAAACUUAAAGCCUUGUUACUUUGGUUUGAAGAAUGACAAACUUGUUGGAACGUGGAAAGUACAGUGUGUUAAAAAGAGGGGCAUCCUUUUUAAAGCUGUUGGUAUAGUGAAACAAAUAGCAAUAAUUUCCCUGCUAUAGAACGUUUUAUCCAGUCUCACUGUACCUUACAUUGUGGUAUGGGGACUCCUUUCAACAGCACCCUUCUUGAUGGAACAUGGCAGCCAUUUUGUGUGUUUGUGUGUGUGUAUGCUUGUGUUUAUGCAUUUGAGUGUGUGUGUGUGUGUGUGUGUCCUCCCCACCGAAGUAACAAAGCAGAUCUUGCCAACACAUUCAGAAACAGUAAACAGCCUGUCCAGAGAUGUCUGGGGGCUGUUAUGACUGUGACACCCACAGUCAGAGUCCUGCCCCGAAGAGGAGCACCACUCCCCCUACCUGGACACGAACAGAAUGGUGCUCCGUUAAUUACUGUACCCCCAUGUAACAUGUGCUCUGCUCGGGGCGAUGACACAGUUCCUUGUAAGUAAUGUCAAACAGAGUGUGACACAGCACCACAUGUGGGGCCUUUCUAGGGUUGCAAAACUCUGCUAACUUUCCUGUUACUUUCCUGCUAACUUUCCUGUUACUUUCCUGCUAACUUUCCUGUUACUUUCCUGCUAACUUUCCUGUUACUUUCCUGCUAACUUUCCUGUUUUUCCUUGAAUUCAGGCAACCAUCCUCCUUACUCUAAAGUAUCUCCGUUUCACAGGGUAUUUUGAAUGAAAAUGUAACGUCGAAGCACAGGAGAGUGCUUUAAGACAGCAUGUCAUGCCCAAAUGGUUCAGGAGAAAUAGUGUUCACCAAUCUGGAACUUGUGUGUAUAUCAGUUUCUUCAAAUAGGAGACGUUAAAAAAUGCUUGGAGGGCCAGACGGCACACGCUUGUGUCUGGAUUGUUUUGACACGUGUGUGUGUGUGUGUGUCCUUUGCACUGUAUUUGUCCACAAAAAAAAGGUGCAUUACUCCCAUUGUUAUGAGCAGUGUCUUAUGCUCUCUGUCUUUUUCUCUUGUGUUUUCGUAGGAGAUUUGUAAAAGACAUGAUUUCGUAAAUGGGGGGGGGGGGGGGGGAGUGGUGACACAGAGGGAUGUGUCUGUCCUGAGAGAAGAAAAGAAGAAGAGAAGGACGAAAGUAGCCGGGGGAUCGAAUAGAAGGAGAAGAGUCCCGAAAGUUACAGAGAGGGGGUAUAAAUGUUUUGUGGUGGGAUCUGAGAGCAAUGUGAACAACUACAGGUGCAACUCGUACAGAUGGACGUAACGUAUGAAAUGUGCUGAAUAUAUCCAUGUAUUUAGAUCCUAAUAUGUACACAUGGAAUUGCUGUAUUCAUUUGAUGCUUUUGGAACGUCUCUUCAUAAAAUCUCAAAUGCUGAAAUAUCCUGUCAAAAUA
This is a long non-coding RNA of Oncorhynchus kisutch (coho salmon), 1816 nucleotides long. RefSeq lists it as uncharacterized. The record is from RefSeq and is a predicted model, not a curated record. The transcript has 2 exons. NCBI's taxonomy places the organism in Eukaryota, Metazoa, Chordata, Actinopteri, Salmoniformes, Salmonidae.